UACGUAGGGAGCAAGCGUUGUCCGGAAUCAUUGGGCGUAAAGCGCGCGUAGGUGGCUUCGUAAGUCCGUUGUGAAAGUCAAAGGCUCAACCUUUGAAAGCCGAUGGAUACUGCGGAGCUAGAGUACGGAAGAGGCGAGUGGAAUUCCUGGUGUAGCGGUGGAAUGCGCAGAUAUCAGGAGGAACACCAAUGGCGAAGGCAGAUCUCUGGGCCGUAACUGACGCUGAGGAGCGAAAGCGUGGGGAGCGAACAGG
Molecule: ribosomal RNA, 253 nt
Filed under: uncultured bacterium
Lineage: Bacteria
Description: partial 16S ribosomal RNA
Rfam family: Bacterial small subunit ribosomal RNA
Source: RNAcentral